This 585-nucleotide ribosomal RNA is filed under the name Triticum aestivum (bread wheat). Its description in RNAcentral is "partial small subunit ribosomal RNA". Lineage: Eukaryota; Viridiplantae; Streptophyta; Magnoliopsida; Poales; Poaceae. The record is from RNAcentral.
AUGAACUCUGGCAAUAUUGCCAAACUUUGGAAGGACCCCUUAAACAAUGAACCUCCACUACAACAAAAGUAUCCUGUGCUUUAUAGCAUUUGCAAUGAUCAAGACAUCACGGUGGCAAAGUUUAAAAAUGGUGUGGGGGCAAAUUUCUUUCGCCGGCAAUUACAUUCCCCUCUGGUUACCCAAUGGGAUGAGCUGAGAGCUACUGUUGCCUCUUGGCACCUGGCAGAUAGCUCGGACCAAGUUGUGUGGACCCUAGGGGGAAAGAAGAGAUUCACAACCAAAUCCAUGUAUGAGUACUUGGAAAGAAAUCUAGCUGGGUGCAGUUACAAGUGGAUUUGGAAGGCUAAAAUUCCACUUAAGAUCCAAAAUUUCCUUUGGCAGCUGUUCCAAGAUGCUAUCCUAACUAGGGAUGUCAUGAAGAGGAGACGCUGGGCUGGUAACCCGAAAUGCUCCUUUUGUAAAGAUAGAGAGACUUCUCAGCAUUUGUUCUUUACGUGUCCUGUAGCUAGAGUGGUUUGGAGGACAGUGGGCUGUGUUUUGGGCACUGAUAAAUGCCCAAACAAUAUGUGGCAAUUCUUCUCCUAG